AUGCAUUGGAAGUCGCAUACGCAUAUAGAUAGAUACACCAAGGAUCUUGUGAAACAGCUCAGGGAUAAUAAUGUUGGCCUCGGAAAGGUUUUCAGCAUUAUUGGUAGCUUAUUUGGUGUCACGGAGAAUGUGCCUUUUACAAAGAGGUCGUUGAAGACAUUAUGCAAGAAGCUCAACAAGGAGCAGUCGGAUUUUGAUGCUGUCAAGACUAUGAACCUGCUUGGGGAGAUGAAAGCUAACAAUCCAGAUUUCAACUACACCGUGCAGGUCGACGAGGAGAGCCGCAUAAAGACACUUAUGUGGGUGACUAGUAGGGGGUGCGAUCAGUACAGGUGUUUCGGAGAUGCAAUAACAUUUGACACAACCUACAGGACAAACUUGUAUGAUAUGCCAUUUGGUCUCUUUGUCCGCGUCAACAACCACUUCUAG
Molecule: ribosomal RNA, 429 nt
Filed under: Triticum aestivum (bread wheat)
Lineage: Eukaryota; Viridiplantae; Streptophyta; Magnoliopsida; Poales; Poaceae
Description: partial small subunit ribosomal RNA
Source: RNAcentral